CUACGUAGGGGGCGAGCGUUGUCCGGAAUGAUUGGGCGUAAAGGGCGCGUAGGCGGCCCGGUAAGUCUGGAGUGAAAGUCCUGCUUUUAAGGUGGGAAUUGCUUUGGAUACUGUCGGGCUUGAGUGCAGGAGAGGUAAGUGGAAUUCCCAGUGUAGCGGUGAAAUGCGUAGAGAUUGGGAGGAACACCAGUGGCGAAGGCGACUUACUGGACUGUAACUGACGCUGAGGCGCGAAAGUGUGGGGAGCAAACAGGAUUAGAUACCCUGGUAGUCCACACUGUAAACGAUGAAUGCUAGGUGUAGGGGGUAUCGACCCCUUCUGUGCCGCAGUUAACACAAUAAGCAUUCCGCCUGGGGAGUACGGCCGCAAGGUUGAAACUCAAAUGAAUUGACGGGG
Molecule: ribosomal RNA, 397 nt
Filed under: uncultured bacterium
Lineage: Bacteria
Description: partial 16S ribosomal RNA
Rfam family: Bacterial small subunit ribosomal RNA
Source: RNAcentral